RNAcentral lists this transfer RNA (68 nucleotides) under Desis jiaxiangi. RNAcentral's name for it is "tRNA-Thr". The record is from RNAcentral. Lineage: Eukaryota; Metazoa; Arthropoda; Arachnida; Araneae; Desidae.
GUUUGAUUAGUUUAAGUAAAAUAGAGGCUUUGUAAGUUUAAGAUUCUAGGAAAAAAAGAAUGAAAUAU